RNAcentral lists this unclassified non-coding RNA (141 nucleotides) under uncultured Oidiodendron. RNAcentral describes it as "sequence contains ITS2". The record is from RNAcentral. Lineage: Eukaryota; Fungi; Ascomycota; Leotiomycetes; Myxotrichaceae.
CAACCCUCAAGCUCCGCUUGGUGUUGGGCCCUGCCCGCCGCGGCCGGCCCUAAAGACAGUGGCGGCGCCGUCUGGCUCUAAGCGUAGUACAUCUCUCGCUCUAGGGUCCUGCGGUGGCUUGCCAGAACCCCAAACAUCUAU